AAUUACCGAGAAAAUAUCAAUUGUAUCAGAAAGUUCUCGGUAAAUUCCGAUGAACAGAACUUGUCGGAAUUUUGUCAGUUCAUAUCGUCGGAAUUUUGUGGUUAGAGAUGUCAAACUGGGUACUGUCCCGCGGGCCUGGCCCAGAAGGGUUUGUUGCGGGGCGGGUAUGGGCCUAGGGAUUCAUGACCCGCAAAAAAGCGGGCCUUGCGGGACUGGGCUUGUUUGAUACCGGGUCUAAAGCGGGACGGCCCGCAUCAACCGCGGGAAGGCCCACAUGUACCGCAUCUAGAUGCUUCGUCGUUUCCGUUGCCCUUUCACCUGAAAAUGAAAAGUUUAAUAUCUACUGAAAUGACCAUUGCAGAUGUGUCGUCUCUUCUUGUUAAGGAGGAGACUGCAUUCCCUUUGAGACAAGACUCUUCACUAAUUCCAGGAGAACCCAAUAUAUCUUAUAUAGCCUCUGUUCCCUGGAGAGACUAGAGUUGAUCAAUUGGUGGAGAUCAUUAAGGCAAUAAAACGAUUGUGGUUUUUGUUUUCUUUCCUGUUAGAUUCUCAGAGUUUGUCUCUGACAUGUAGUUCUUAUAUAUUCUAUGAAUUGUCUCUGAUUUGUCUUCUUUUUUUUUGUUUGUGUUUUGAGUGCCAGCACCAUCGCCAUUUGUAGUCUAAAGUCGAUCUUUGUGUUUUAACUUAGUUAAGAAGUUGUUGUGAUCAAAGAGAACAUGUGUUGUGGCUCUUUGAUGAUUCUGUUUAUGUAUAAACAAUCAAAUUAUCUAUUUAUUUUGUUGAAUUAAAAAAUAACCCACAAUCUCAGAUCACUUCAUUUAGUUGUUAUUCAUCAGGUCCAAGAUCUUUCAUUGAAGUCACUAGCCAAAAACUACUUUUAAUUUGUUGGAUUAUUACAUUUCAAAAUGUAAGAGUUUUGAAGCUUAAAUCAUCUUACCAUGGUUUUAGAUUACCUCCUUCAUCAUCAGUCCUUGGAGGUUUUCAAAAAUGUACUUCAUUCUUCAUAUUCUACAUGCUGCACUCCUUUCGCGUCCAGCCCGCGGGAUGGCUUGUAAGGGACUGUGCACUUGGGCGGUACGGGAUCGGGCCGACCUUUUGGAGACCGCAGCCCGCGCGGGACGGACCCGCCUGGACCCGCGAGAUGACAAGCCCGCAGCGGUACGGGACGGGACGGGACGGACCAACCUGUUUGACAUCUCUAUUUGUGGUUAUAAAAGAAAAAAGUUUCCGAGAAAUUUCAUCCCUCGGAGAAUUGUUGAUAUCCUCUCGGAAAUCACCGACGACAAGGAAGCCUCAAAAAUUUGUCGGAGAAAUUGACGGUAAACCAUCGUAAUAGUUUCCGAGACGAGAUCGACGACAACCAAUCCCACUAAUUUCUCGGACUUACUCAAGGAAUCAACUCUCAACAGAAACAUAAAUUUGUUUGGCAGAUCUGACGAGUUUGGGGAUGUUUGUUGAUGGAGGAAACCGGCGGCUCUAUUGUAGGAAUGGGUUGGCUUGCAAAAUUGUCUCCUCCACCACGAACUAUUCUCCUAGCAGCGUUGAUUCCGGCGGCGGCUAGAGCUUCACGGUGGCAGAUCUGGUGGACGACGACAUUUUCUUCUUCGGUGGCUAAGGUCUUGUAGGUAUCCGGUUUUGUUUUGGUUUUUUGAAUUCCAAUUUUGGUAAACCGAUUCUAAUCUCCAAUAAGGGUGGUAUAUAUGUAUAAUGUAUUAUAUAUAGUUUGUAUACACAUGUUAUUUUUUUGAACAUAUAUAUAGUUAUAUACACAUGUAUAUGCUGCCACAGUCAUGGUUAGGAAACUAAACCGGGACUUUGGUGUGGUUUAGUUGAGCUAGGCUUCGGCUCGGCUCCGAUAUAUUUUUUUUUUAAUAAUUUUUUUUUGGAUUUGUCGGCAAGUUCUCGGAGAUCACCGUCAACAUUUUGACAACCCUGUUUGUCGAUGAUAACAUAGUCGGGAACGCCUCGUCUCUUUCCGACAACCAUUUCCGAGAUUAAUCCGAGAGAAGAAUUUCGUCGCUAAGUUUCCGACAAACUGACGAUGAACGUCAUUUUCCGACGCUCAAACUCCGACCAAUUAUUGAUUGUCGGAAACGUCUCGGAAAUCAUGAACUCCGACGAAUUUCCAAUAAAUUUUGCUGUCGGCAUAGAGACUUUUUCUUGUAGUGUAGGUCGGGCUGGAGCUGGAGUUGGGAUUCGAACCAUAAUGACAGUGAAGCGCCAAACAGUUCAGGAACGGACAGUGAAGCACCCUGUUCGAGCUCCGGUUCGGACAGUGAAGCGCCAAGGAACAUCGUAGUGGGAGGAUCUGAUGGAUGGAAAAAAGGUUUGGAUUACAAAGAGUGGGCUUCCAAGAAUGCUCCUUUCUACGUCAACGAUGUUCUUGUUUUCAAGUACGAUAAAUCGGCCAAGCGAAGGAACAAUGUAUAUUUGUUCCAAGAUCCAUGGAGUUAUAUGAACUGCGACCUAAAGAAUGCAAAGAAGAUUGGUUUGACGCAUAAAAGAUCAGAAAAAAGCUUCAAGUUUACACUUCGACAAAAUAAGCCUUACUUCUUUGCGUCGGGCGAGCAUGAUGGUGAUUAUUGCACCAACCACAACAUGAAGUUCACCCUUUU
Long non-coding RNA from Brassica napus (rape), 2615 nucleotides. RefSeq lists it as uncharacterized. Lineage: Eukaryota; Viridiplantae; Streptophyta; Magnoliopsida; Brassicales; Brassicaceae. The transcript has 4 exons. The record is from RefSeq and is a predicted model, not a curated record.